AGCCUAAUGCCACGUCACCUGUAGCUCCAUGCAAUGACUUGUGAUGCUAUGAUUAGGCUGAUAUCAAGUUAUUUCUUAAUGUUUCGCAUAUUGAUAGGAAUCUAUGGAUCAUAUUUGCAUUUGAUUCAUGGGGCCGUUUCCUGCGAUUACACUU
Dioscorea cayenensis subsp. rotundata (Guinea yam) is the source of this 154-nucleotide small nucleolar RNA. RefSeq annotates it as small nucleolar RNA snoR2/U65. The transcript has a single exon. The record is from RefSeq and is a predicted model, not a curated record. Lineage: Eukaryota; Viridiplantae; Streptophyta; Magnoliopsida; Dioscoreales; Dioscoreaceae.